Molecule: ribosomal RNA, 433 nt
Filed under: uncultured bacterium
Lineage: Bacteria
Description: partial 16S ribosomal RNA
Rfam family: Bacterial small subunit ribosomal RNA
Source: RNAcentral
AACGAACGCUGGCGGCAUGCCUAACACAUGCAAGUCGAACGAGACCUUCGGGUCUAGUGUCGCACGGGUGCGUAACGCGUGGGAACCUGCCCUUAGGUUCGGAAUAACUCCCCGAAAGGGGUGCUAAUACCAGAUAAUGUCUUCGGACCAAAGAUUUAUCGCCUUUGGAUGGGCCCGCGUUGGAUUAGCUAGUUGGUAUGUUAAAAGCCUACCAAGGCGACGAUCCAUAGCUGGUCUGAGAGGAUGAUCAGCCACACUGGGACUGAGACACGGCCCAGACUUCUAGGGGAGGCAGAAGUGGGGAAUAUGGGACAAUGGGAGAAAGCCUGAUCCACCAAUGACGCGUGAGAGAAGAAGGAAGUAGGGUUGUAAAGCUCUUUUACCCGGGAUGAUAAUGACAGUAACGGGAGAAUAAGAUCAGGCUAACUCCGUG